AAACUUAAGGGGAAUUCCGUGAUCAUCAAGGCGGAUCCCCAUGGCGAGGCCUAUCCAUUGCACUUUUGGAUGGGCUGACCUGUGUGGCAGUCUCGAGUUGAGAUCGCCAACAGUUUAAUUUUUGCGUAACGGGCUGCGUGCGCGCGGCCCUGG
This 153-nucleotide small nuclear RNA is filed under the name Caenorhabditis remanei. RNAcentral describes it as "U1 spliceosomal RNA". It matches the Rfam family "U1 spliceosomal RNA". From Rfam's summary of the family: U1 is a small nuclear RNA (snRNA) component of the spliceosome (involved in pre-mRNA splicing). Its 5' end forms complementary base pairs with the 5' splice junction, thus defining the 5' donor site of an intron. There are significant differences in sequence and secondary structure between metazoan and yeast U1 snRNAs, the latter being much longer (568 nucleotides as compared to 164 nucleotides in human). The record is from Rfam by way of RNAcentral. Lineage: Eukaryota; Metazoa; Nematoda; Chromadorea; Rhabditida; Rhabditidae.